GGUUCUGUCUUCAAACUUACUGGUGAUGAAAGGAAUGAAGGAUCUGUGGAUACAUUUUAGGUCACAUUUGCCUGAUUAAAAAUCAUUGGGAAAAAAGAAAUCGUCAAAUACUUGGCAGUAUUUGCUAAGUUAUUUUCUGUGCCAGCCUAGUACCAGAGAGAUUUUCUUAUCAAGUUCAAGUGACAAUUCCUUUGGAAGAAUCUCUGUCCUCAGUUGUGUGGCUGUGGUUGGACAAUAUGUAAGACUGCCAGCUUCACCUCUGAUUUAUGAAGCAAUUCAAAGUUGCUGUCUGCAGAGACAUCCUGGAUCUGCAUGCUUAAAACAGAAGUCCUGGAAGCAUGCACAGUCUAACUACAAGAAAAAAUAUCAGAUGAACUUCAGAGCUUCCUACCAAACACUGACCAGGACUUCUCAAAACAAGACUACUGAAAACCAGGAACCCCUGAGAAGCUGUAGCAGCCAAGAGGGACCUAAGGAAGCAUGAUGAUUAAAUCUGAUGUGGGAUCCCGGGUGGGACCUUGAGGCAAAAAAUAGUACAUUUUGGCAAAAGCUAAGAAAAUAGGAAUAAAGUACAGAUUUCAAUUAAUAAAAAUGCAUCAAUGCAGAUUGCUUUUUUCGACAAAUGUGCCAUAGUAUUGUAGGUUGUAGAUUGAAGAAACUGC
Molecule: long non-coding RNA, 662 nt
Organism: Heterocephalus glaber (naked mole-rat)
Lineage: Eukaryota; Metazoa; Chordata; Mammalia; Rodentia; Bathyergidae
Source: Ensembl